GGAGGUAUAGCUCAGCAGUAGAGUGUCUGCUCAGCAUGUGCAAGGUCCUGGGUUCAAUUCUUAGUGCCUCCA
This 72-nucleotide transfer RNA is filed under the name Camelus bactrianus (Bactrian camel). It matches the Rfam family "tRNA". Rfam says of the family: Transfer RNA (tRNA) molecules are approximately 80 nucleotides in length. Their secondary structure includes four short double-helical elements and three loops (D, anti-codon, and T loops). Lineage: Eukaryota; Metazoa; Chordata; Mammalia; Artiodactyla; Camelidae. The record is from Rfam by way of RNAcentral. RNAcentral also lists the same sequence under 2 other names.